AGCUUUGCGCAGUGGCAGUAUCAUAGCCAAUGAGGUUUAUCUGAGGCGCAAUUAUCGCUAAUUGAAAACUAAGUAAAGCAGGGGUUUUGAUUUUCAUUUUAGAGCUGAAAAAAUGGAGGCAGAGAUGUCAUAUGACU
This is a small nuclear RNA of Zalophus californianus (California sea lion), 137 nucleotides long. Its record names the gene U4. It matches the Rfam family "U4 spliceosomal RNA". Rfam says of the family: U4 small nuclear RNA (U4 snRNA) is a component of the major U2-dependent spliceosome. Lineage: Eukaryota; Metazoa; Chordata; Mammalia; Carnivora; Otariidae. The record is from Ensembl.